GCGUCGGUGGCGGAGUGGUCAAUCGCACUUGGCUGUAAACCAAGCGGCUAUAUGCCUACGGGGGUUCAAAUCCCUCCCGGCGCACAA
RNAcentral lists this transfer RNA (87 nucleotides) under Patescibacteria group bacterium. RNAcentral describes it as "tRNA-Tyr". It matches the Rfam family "tRNA". Rfam says of the family: Transfer RNA (tRNA) molecules are approximately 80 nucleotides in length. Their secondary structure includes four short double-helical elements and three loops (D, anti-codon, and T loops). The record is from RNAcentral.